This 302-nucleotide long non-coding RNA is filed under the name Oryza brachyantha (malo sina). Its description in RNAcentral is "long non-coding RNA (OBRA_LNC002234)". The record is from RNAcentral. Lineage: Eukaryota; Viridiplantae; Streptophyta; Magnoliopsida; Poales; Poaceae.
UCUCGCCCUACACACACUACAUAGAGCCAGCUGAGCGGUGCCCACCACCGUCUCCGCGCAUCGCCACCACCCGCGCUCAGUGCCCUCCACCUCACUAGCUACGCUACGAGCUACUGCUAAAGCAGCUAGCGACGAGCUCGCCCGCCGCCGGCGCUCUCCCUAGCUAGCUUCUGGGGGGGGGGGGGGGUUGAUGCCGCGGGCCAGCCGCGUGUCCGUCAGCAGCUUGUUGACCUGCGAGUACUCCGGGUGGUCCGCCAGGAUCUUGGUGAUGUUGUACCCCUCGGCCGCCGCCGCCGCCGCCG